RNAcentral lists this ribosomal RNA (253 nucleotides) under uncultured bacterium. RNAcentral's name for it is "partial 16S ribosomal RNA". It matches the Rfam family "Bacterial small subunit ribosomal RNA", at positions 524 to 776 of the family's 1533-position model. The record is from RNAcentral.
UACGGGGGGGGCAAGCGUUGUUCGGAAUUACUGGGCGUAAAGGGCGCGUAGGCGGUUCGAUAAGUCAGCUGUGAAAACCAUGGGCUUAACUCAUGGCCUGCAGUUGAGACUGUCGGGCUGGAGUGUGGGAGAGGAGAGUGGAAUUCCUGGUGUAGCGGUGAAAUGCGUAGAUAUCAGGAGGAACACCGGUGGCGAAGGCGGCUCUCUGGACCACAACUGACGCUGAGGCGCGAAAGCUAGGGGAGCAAACAGG